AGAGUUUGAUCAUGGCUCAGAUUGAACGCUGGCGGUAUGCUUAACACAUGCAAGUCGAACGGUAACAGGCCUUCGGGUGCUGACGAGUGGCGGACGGGUGAGUAACGCGUAGGAAUCUGCCUCAUAGUGGGGGACAACUUGGGGAAACUCAAGCUAAUACCGCAUACGCCCUACGGGGGAAAGCGGGGGACCUUCGGGCCUCGCGCUAACAGAUGAGCCUGCGUUGGAUUAGCUAGUUGGUAGGGUAAAGGCCUACCAAGGCGACGAUCCAUAGCUGGUCUGAGAGGACGAUCAGCCACACUGGGACUGAGACACGGCCCAGACUCCUACGGGAGGCAGCAGUGGGGAAUAUUGGACAAUGGGCGCAAGCCUGAUCCAGCAAUACCGCGUGUGUGAAGAAGGCCUGAGGGUUGUAAAGCACUUUUAAUCGGGAGGAACACCUGUCAGCGAAUACCUGGCAGUAUGACAUUACCGAUAGAAAAAGCACCGGCUAACUCCGUGCCAGCAGCCGCGGUAAUACGGAGGGUGCAAGCGUUAAUCGGAAUUACUGGGCGUAAAGCGUGCGUAGGCGGCUGUUUAAGUCAGAUGUGAAAGCCCCGGGCUUAACCUGGGAACUGCAUUUGAUACUGGGCAGCUAGAGUUGAGUAGAGGAGAGGGGAAUUUCAGGUGUAGCGGUGAAAUGCGUAGAGAUCUGAAGGAACACCAGUGGCGAAGGCGCCUCUCUGGACUCAAACUGACGCUGAGGUACGAAAGCGUGGGUAGCAAACAGGAUUAGAUACCCUGGUAGUCCACGCCGUAAACGAUGUCAACUAGCCGUUGGUCUUAUUCGUAAGAUUAGUGGCGUAGCUAACGCGAUAAGUUGACCGCCUGGGGAGUACGGCCGCAAGGUUAAAACUCAAAGGAAUUGACGG
RNAcentral lists this ribosomal RNA (911 nucleotides) under uncultured bacterium. Its description in RNAcentral is "bacterial SSU rRNA". It matches the Rfam family "Bacterial small subunit ribosomal RNA", at positions 8 to 916 of the family's 1533-position model. The record is from RNAcentral.